This 427-nucleotide ribosomal RNA is filed under the name Blastocystis sp. Its description in RNAcentral is "SSU rRNA". It matches the Rfam family "Eukaryotic small subunit ribosomal RNA", at positions 496 to 933 of the family's 1831-position model. The record is from RNAcentral. Lineage: Eukaryota; Bigyra; Opalinata; Blastocystidae.
AUACGUCUUGCAAUUGGAUUGAGAACAAUGUACAACUCUUAUCGAUAAGCCAUUGGAGGGCAAGUCUGGUGCCAGCAGCCGCGGUAAUUCCAGCUCCAAUAGCGUAUAUUAACGUUGUUGCAGUUAAAAAGCUCGUAGUUGAAGUGUGGGUGAUCGCUAUUGUGAGACUUCGGUCUCUCGACAGUAAGUCACCCCCUUCCAGUAUCCAGUAGUGGGUAUUCAGUUACUUACUAUUGUGUGUUGGUCCUUUACUGUGAGAAAAUUAGAGUGUUCAAAGCAGGCGUUUGCUUGAAUAGAUUAGCAUGGAAUAAUAAUUGAAGGCUUUCGUGUUCGAUUUGAUUGGUUUGUUCAUGGAAGCAAGGUUAAAAGGAACAGUUGGGGGUAUUCAUAUUCACUAGUUAUAGGUGAAAUUCUCGGAUUUAUGGAA